UUCGGUUUACUUUCUUACCCUUCUUAUUUUGGUUGAUGAAUAGUUUAGUUGGUUUAUGUGGUUCAGUGUUUAUUUACAUUUGAAAAUGUGGAUUUCUGGAUUUUGUAAAAUGAAAGGUUUUCUACCCCUCGUGGUAGCAUUUUUAACGAAUAAAGGUUUCCGUGUAGGAAACAGUUUUCAAAAGGAUUUUCCGUGGAUUUCUGUUUAAACAUUGAAUGUAAAACUGUGAUGUGAAUGGUGAAUGUAUGAAUGUAUAGUUAUCUUUAUAUUCAUCUAGUGGUGGUUGUAUCCUGGUUGUACUCUUGUACUUGUGCGACGCCGUGCAAAUACAGGGGAGACUCUGUCCGUGUGAACAGUGGACCUCCUGUAUUUGUGGCGGAUCUGGCAUACUCU
This 393-nucleotide long non-coding RNA is filed under the name Ananas comosus (pineapple). RNAcentral's name for it is "long non-coding RNA (ACOM_LNC039304)". Lineage: Eukaryota; Viridiplantae; Streptophyta; Magnoliopsida; Poales; Bromeliaceae. The record is from RNAcentral.